AACGCAACUUGCGCUCCUUGGUAUUCCAUGGAGCACGCCUGUUUCAGUAUCAAAACAAACCCUCUACCGCUCUGCUCUUGUAGAGACAGUAGGAACAUUGGAAGUCUCCCGCGAGCCCUUGGGUUCAACGGACGCCUCUGAAAUUUAUUUAGGCUUGAGCAUGGUUCAUUAUGCCGAAACUUUUUUUUAAUAUAAAGAAAAGUUCAAGCGACCGAGCCGCUGUAAGAGCCUCCCAAAUAAAAUUUUUUAAAUUUGAUCUGAAAUCAGGCGGGAUUACCCGCUGAACUUAA
This 290-nucleotide unclassified non-coding RNA is filed under the name uncultured fungus. RNAcentral describes it as "sequence contains ITS2". Lineage: Eukaryota; Fungi. The record is from RNAcentral.